Molecule: ribosomal RNA, 790 nt
Filed under: uncultured bacterium
Lineage: Bacteria
Description: bacterial SSU rRNA
Rfam family: Bacterial small subunit ribosomal RNA
Source: RNAcentral
AGAGUUUGAUCAUGGCUCAGAUUGAACGCUGGCGGCAUGCCUUACACAUGCAAGUCGAACGGCAGCGCGGGAGCAAUCCUGGCGGCGAGUGGCGAACGGGUGAGUAAUAUAUCGGAACGUGCCCUGUAGCGGGGGAUAACCUAUCGAAAGAUGGACUAAUACCGCAUACGCUCUACGGAGGAAAGCGGGGGUCGCAAGACCUCGCACUAUAGGAGCGGCCGAUAUCGGAUUAGCUAGUUGGCGGGGUAAAAGCCCACCAAGGCGACGAUCCGUAGCUGGUCUGAGAGGAUGAUCAGCCACACUGGAACUGAGACACGGUCCAGACUCCUACGGGAGGCAGCAGUGGGGAAUUUUGGACAAUGGGCGCAAGCCUGAUCCAGCCAUGCCGCGUGAGUGAAGAAGGCCUUCGGGUUGUAAAGCUCUUUCGGCAGGAACGAAAUGGUUCGUGCUAAUACCACGGACUGAUGACGGUACCUGAAGAAGAAGCACCGGCUAACUACGUGCCAGCAGCCGCGGUAAUACGUAGGGUGCAGGCGUUAAUCGGAAUUACUGGGCGUAAAGCGUGCGCAGGCGGUUUCUUAAGUCAGAUGUGAAAGCCCCGGGCUUAACCUGGGAACUGCGUUUGAAACUGGGAGACUUGAGUGUGGCAGAGGGGGGUGGAAUUCCACGUAGCAGUGAAAUGCGUAGAUAUGUGGAGGAACACCGAUGGCGAAGGCAGCCCCCUGGGUUAACACUGACGCUCAUGCACGAAAGCGUGGGGAGCAAACAGGAUUAGAUACCCUAGUAGUCC